UACAGAGGGGGCAAGCGUUAUUCGGAAUUAUUGGGCGUAAAGGGCGCGUAGGCGGCUUGGCAAGUGGAAGGUGAAAUCCCUCGGCUUAACCGAGGAACUGCCCUCCAAACUGCUUGGCUUGAGACCGGGAGAGGUGAGUGGAAUUCCCAGUGUAGCGGUGAAAUGCGUAGAUAUUGGGAAGAACACCAGUGGCGAAGGCGGCUAUCUGGAUGGUUUCUGACGCUAAGACGCGAAAGCGUGGGGAGCAAACAGG
RNAcentral lists this ribosomal RNA (253 nucleotides) under uncultured bacterium. RNAcentral's name for it is "partial 16S ribosomal RNA". It matches the Rfam family "Bacterial small subunit ribosomal RNA", at positions 524 to 776 of the family's 1533-position model. The record is from RNAcentral.